UACGUAGGGUGCAAGCGUUAAUCGGAAUUACUGGGCGUAAAGCGUGCGCAGGCGGCUAUGCAAGACAGAUGUGAAAUCCCCCGGCUCAACCGGGGAACGGGCGGGGAUACGACGAGCCUGGAGGGGCGUAGGGGGACCUGGAACUUCCGGUGGAGCGGUGAAAUGCGUUGAGAUCGGAAGGAACGCCCGUGGCGAAAGCGAGGUCCUGGACGCCUACUGACGCUGAGACGCGAAAGCCAGGGGAGCGAACGGG
RNAcentral lists this ribosomal RNA (253 nucleotides) under uncultured prokaryote. Its description in RNAcentral is "partial 16S ribosomal RNA". It matches the Rfam family "Bacterial small subunit ribosomal RNA", at positions 524 to 776 of the family's 1533-position model. The record is from RNAcentral.